Molecule: ribosomal RNA, 449 nt
Filed under: uncultured bacterium
Lineage: Bacteria
Description: bacterial SSU rRNA
Rfam family: Bacterial small subunit ribosomal RNA
Source: RNAcentral
GUCGAGAAUUUUUCACAAUGGGCGCAAGCCUGAUGGAGCGACGCCGCGUGGGGGAUGAAGGGCUUCGGCCUGUAAACCCCUGUCAGCUGCGAACAAACCUUGCCUGUGAACAGCGGGCGAGCUGAUGGUAGCGGCAGAGGAAGGGACGGCUAACUCUGUGCCAGCAGCCGCGGUAAUACAGAGGUCCCGAGCGUUGUUCGGAUUCACUGGGCGUAAAGGGUGCGUAGGCGGUCUCGAAAGUCUGAUGUGAAAGCCCCGGGCCCAACCCGGGAAUGGCAUCGGAAACUGCGGGGCUAGAGGGUUGGAGGGGGGACUGGAAUUCUCGGUGUAGCAGUGAAAUGCGUAGAGAUCGAGAGGAACACCAGUGGCGAAGGCGAGUCCCUGGACAACCCCUGACGCUGAGGCACGAAAGCUAGGGGAGCAAACAGGAUUAGAUACCCUUGUAGUCC